UUGACCUCGGAUUAGGUAGGAAUACCCGCUGAACUUAAGCAUAUCAAUAA
RNAcentral lists this ribosomal RNA (50 nucleotides) under Hypoxylon lenormandii. RNAcentral's name for it is "partial 28S ribosomal RNA". Lineage: Eukaryota; Fungi; Ascomycota; Sordariomycetes; Xylariales; Hypoxylaceae. The record is from RNAcentral.